Molecule: ribosomal RNA, 832 nt
Filed under: uncultured bacterium
Lineage: Bacteria
Description: bacterial SSU rRNA
Rfam family: Bacterial small subunit ribosomal RNA
Source: RNAcentral
CAAGUCGAGCGGAGACAGUGAGUAGCUUGCUAUGAGCUGUUUUAGCGGCGGACGGGUGAGUAACGCGUGAGCAACCUUUCCCAGACAGGGGAAUAACACACCGAAAGGUGUACUAAUACCGCAUAAGACCACGGGAUCACAUGGUUCUGAGGUAAAAGAUUUAUCGGUUUGGGGUGGGCUCGCGUCCGAUUAGGUAGUUGGUGAGGUAACGGCCCACCAAGCCGACGAUCGGUAGCCGACCUGAGAGGGUGAUCGGCCACAUUGGGACUGAGACACGGCCCAAACUCCUACGGGAGGCAGCAGUGGGGAAUAUUGGGCAAUGGAGGAAACUCUGACCCAGCAACGCCGCGUGGAGGAAGAAGGUUUUCGGAUCGUAAACUCCUGUCCUUGGAGACGAGUAGAAGACGGUAUCCAAGGAGGAAGCCCCGGCUAACUACGUGCCAGCAGCCGCGGUAAUACGUAGGGGGCAAGCGUUGUCCGGAAUAAUUGGGCGUAAAGGGCGCGUAGGCGGCUCGGUAAGUCUGGAGUGAAAGUCCUGCUUUUAAGGUGGGAAUUGCUUUGGAUACUGUCGGGCUUGAGUGCAGGAGAGGUUAGUGGAAUUCCCAGUGUAGCGGUGAAAUGCGUAGAGAUUGGGAGGAACACCAGUGGCGAAGGCGACUAACUGGACUGUAACUGACGCUGAGGCGCGAAAGUGUGGGGAGCAAACAGGAUUAGAUACCCUGGUAGUCCACACUGUAAACGAUGAAUGCUAGGUGUAGGGGGUAUCGACCCCUUCUGUGCCGCAGUCAACACAAUAAGCAUUCCGCCUGGGGAGUACGGCCGCAAGGUUGAA